CUGGUUGAUCCUGCCAGAGGCCAUUGCUAUUCGGUUUCUACUAAGCCAUGCGAGUCCAGAGUGAUUAUGCACUCGGCGAACUGCUCCGUAAUAUGCAGUCAACCUGCCCUUAGCAGGGAGAUAAUCUCGGGAAACUGAGGCUAAUAUCCCAUAGGCAUUAGGUACUGGAAUGUCCUAAUACCAAAAGCUCAGGCGGCUAAGGAUGGGACUGCACCUGAUUAGGCUGUUGUUGGUAUAAAAAACCAACAAACCGAUAAUCAGUACGGGCUAUGGAAGUAGGAGCCCGGAGAUGGAUUCUGAGACAUGAAUCCAGGUACUACGGUACGCAGCAGGCGAGAAACCUUUUCAAUCUGCUAACGCGGGAAAGGGGGAACCGGAGUGCUCUUGCUUUGCAAGAGCUUUUGCUUUCUGAAAAAAGGAAGGUGAGUAAGGGCUGGGUAACACGGGUGCCAGCCGCCGCGGUAAUACCCGGAGCCCGAGUGAUGGCCGCUAUUAUUGGGUCUAAAGCGUUCGUAGCCGGUUUAACAAGUCCUUAGUGAAAUCUUCCAGUAAACUGGAAGGCGUGCUAGGGAUACUGUUAGACUUGAGACCGGGAGAGGAUAGGGGUACUUUCAGGGUAGGGGUGAAAUCCUAUAAUCCUGAGGGGACCACCUGUGGCGAAGGCGCCUACCUGGAACGGGUCUGACGGUGAGGGACGAAAGCUAGGGGAGCGAUUGGGAUUAGAUACCCCAGUAGUCCUAGCCGUAAACAAUGUCCGCUUGGUGUUGCAAACCUCUCGGGGGUUUGCGGUGCCGGAGCGUAGGUGUUAAGCGGACCACCUGGGAAGUACACUCGCAAGGGUGAAACUUAAGGGAAUUGGCGGGGGAGCACACAAGGGGUGGGCGUUGCGGUUCAAUUGGAUUCAACGCCGGG
This 912-nucleotide ribosomal RNA is filed under the name uncultured archaeon. Its description in RNAcentral is "bacterial SSU rRNA". It matches the Rfam family "Archaeal small subunit ribosomal RNA", at positions 4 to 922 of the family's 1478-position model. The record is from RNAcentral.